This 229-nucleotide ribosomal RNA is filed under the name uncultured bacterium. RNAcentral's name for it is "partial 16S ribosomal RNA". It matches the Rfam family "Bacterial small subunit ribosomal RNA", at positions 568 to 796 of the family's 1533-position model. The record is from RNAcentral.
UACGUAGGCGGAAAAUUAAGUCAGUAGUGAAAUCCUGCAGCUUAACUGUAGAACUGUUAUUGAUACUGGUUUUCUUGAAUAUAGUUGAGGUAAGCGGAAUGUGUAAUGUAGCGGUGAAAUGCUUAGAUAUUACACAGAACACCGAUUGCGAAGGCAGCUUACUAAGCUAUGAUUGACGCUGAGGUACGAAAGCGUGGGGAGCAAACAGGAUUAGAUACCCUGGUAGUCC